AAAUCAAUCCCAACCUUUCUUUUGUGGUCAUAAACCUUAUGUUAAAAUUUCAUAGAUUUCUAUUUACUUAUACUUAAGUUAUUGUGCGAAAACCAAGAAAAAUGCUUAUUUGGGCCCUUUUUGGCCCCUCAUUCCUAAACUGUUGGGACCAAAACUCCCAAAAUCAAUCCCAACCUUCCUUUUAUGGUCAUAAACCUUGUGUUUAAAUUUCAAAGAUUUCUAUUUACUUAUACUAAAGUUAUAGUGCGAAAACCAAAUGUCUUCAGACGACGACGCCAACGUCAUACCA
Molecule: long non-coding RNA, 289 nt
Filed under: Mytilus galloprovincialis (Mediterranean mussel)
Lineage: Eukaryota; Metazoa; Mollusca; Bivalvia; Mytilida; Mytilidae
Source: RNAcentral